AGAGCGAACGCUGGCGGCAGGCCUAACACAUGCAAGUCGAACGGACCCUUCGGGGUUAGUGGCGGACGGGUGAGUAACACGUGGGAACGUGCCUUUAGGUUCGGAAUAGCUCCUGGAAACGGGUGGUAAUGCCGAAUGUGCCCUUCGGGGGAAAGAUUUAUCGCCUUUAGAGCGGCCCGCGUCUGAUUAGCUUGUUGGUGAGGUAAUGGCUCACCAAGGCGACGAUCAGUAGCUGGUCUGAGAGGAUGACCAGCCACACUGGGACUGAGACACGGCCCAGACUCCUACGGGAGGCAGCAGUGGGGAAUCUUGCGCAAUGGGCGAAAGCCUGACGCAGCCAUGCCGCGUGGAUGAUGAAGGUCUAGGAUUGUAAAAUCCUUUCACCGGUGAAGAUAAUGACUGUAGCCGGAGAAGAAGCCCCGGACUAACUUCGUGCUAGCAGCCGC
RNAcentral lists this ribosomal RNA (446 nucleotides) under uncultured soil bacterium. RNAcentral describes it as "bacterial SSU rRNA". It matches the Rfam family "Bacterial small subunit ribosomal RNA", at positions 26 to 518 of the family's 1533-position model. The record is from RNAcentral.